CCUACGGGAGGCAGCAGUAGGGAAUCUUCCACAAUGGGCGAAAGCCUGAUGGAGCAACGCCGCGUGGGUGACGAAGGUCUUCAGAUCGUAAAACCCUGUUGUUCGAGAAGAAAGUGCGUGAGAGUAACUGUUCACGUUUCGACGGUAUCUAACCAGAAAGCCACGGCUAACUACGUGCCAGCCGCCGCGGUAAUACGUAGGUGGCAAGCGUUAUCCGGAUUUAUUGGGCGUAAAGGGAACGCAGGCGGUCUUUUAAGUCUGAUGUGAAAGCCUUCGGCUUAACCGGAGUAGUGCAUUGGAAACUGGGAGACUUGAGUGCAGAAGAGGAGAGUGGAACUCCAUGUGUAGCGGUGAAAUGCGUAGAUAUCAGGAGGAACACCGGCGGCGAAGGCGGCUUACUGGACUGUAACUGACGUUGAGGCUCGAAGGCGUGGGGAGCAAACAGGAUUAGAUACCCUAGUAGUC
Molecule: ribosomal RNA, 465 nt
Filed under: uncultured bacterium
Lineage: Bacteria
Description: partial 16S ribosomal RNA
Rfam family: Bacterial small subunit ribosomal RNA
Source: RNAcentral